AUGUCGUCGGAUCCUCGGAACCCUAAUCCUCCUCCUCCUCCACCUCCCGGUUCUUCGUCAUCCGCGCUUCCGGCGGGGGGCAGCUAUUUCCCGCUCCCUUUCCACCUGCAGCAGCAGCCGGUGGCGACCUACCAGUACCAGCAGCUGCAGCAAGCGCAGCAGCUCUUCCAGCGGGACGCGCAGACCAUCACCCCCGAGGCGCUCGAGAGCGUCAAGGCCGCCCUCGCCACCAGCGACGUCCUCGACCCCUCUGCUGCCAGGGCCUCCGCCUCCUCCUCCGACGCUGCUGCCAAGAAGAAGACAAUCCCUCGUCGUGCAGCCGGACAGUCCUGGGAGGAUCCUACCCUCACCGAGUGGCCCGAAAAUGACUACAGGUUGUUUUGUGGAGAUCUAGGUAACGAAGUUAAUGACGAUGUUCUCUCAAAAGCCUUUUCGCGGUUCCCCUCCUUUAAUAUGGCAAAGGUUGUUAGAGAUAAGAGGACUGGCAAAACAAAAGGUUAUGGAUUCGUCAGUUUUUCAAACCCUACAGACCUUGCUGCAGCAAUAAAAGAAAUGAAUGGAAAGUAUGUUGGGAAUCGCCCUAUUAAAUUGCGUAAGAGCAAUUGGAAGGAGAGGACAGAUGUCGAGGCUCUACAAAGACAAAAGAAUCAUAUUCAGAAGAAACCUAAAACACAAAAGAAGGGUAUUCUUCACAAGUAA
This 699-nucleotide ribosomal RNA is filed under the name Triticum aestivum (bread wheat). RNAcentral's name for it is "partial small subunit ribosomal RNA". The record is from RNAcentral. Lineage: Eukaryota; Viridiplantae; Streptophyta; Magnoliopsida; Poales; Poaceae.